Molecule: long non-coding RNA, 495 nt
Organism: Bombyx mandarina (wild silkworm)
Lineage: Eukaryota; Metazoa; Arthropoda; Insecta; Lepidoptera; Bombycidae
Source: RefSeq, a predicted model, not a curated record
CCCACGACAUGUCACGAAUACGCCGUGUGAUACGAAAGUGUCUCAUAAAUUCACCUUGAGUACAAUAAUAGAGAUAUGGCGUUCGGAUUUUUACUAGUAACAGCUAUAAUAGCUUUCGGAACAUAUUUUGCGACAAAAUAUUUUAUGAAUCGUCCAGAAAUUGAUAUGGAAAUCGAAACAGAAGCUGCUACCGAAACGCAUACGAAUAAAUAUUAUUUUUAACUUCACACUCUCUUCAGGAUAAUAGAGCACUUUUGGUAGGAGCCAUCAUGGUGUCCAUAUAUCUUGGAGGCAAAUAUCUAUUAGAAAUGGACCGUAUGAACAAUGACGUGCCUAUGGCGAAUUUAACUGGUCUAGGUUGAGAAACACGUUGUUUUAAUGUUACGUUAAUUUAAAUUUGUUAAAUUAGUUAAUUUUAAUUUAUUAUUAAUUUUAGGCGAAGAAAGGAUAGAACGAUUGUUGUCUGGAAAAUUGUAUUGAUGUGAUUUUUUAAAU